RNAcentral lists this small nuclear RNA (183 nucleotides) under Panthera pardus (leopard). RNAcentral's name for it is "U2 spliceosomal RNA (ENSPPRG00000022320.1)". The stretch from base 1 to 127 matches the Rfam family "U2 spliceosomal RNA". From Rfam's summary of the family: U2 is a small nuclear RNA (snRNA) component of the spliceosome (involved in pre-mRNA splicing). Lineage: Eukaryota; Metazoa; Chordata; Mammalia; Carnivora; Felidae. The record is from RNAcentral.
AUCGCUUCUCGGCCUUUUGGCUAAGAUCAAGUGUAGUAUCUGUUCUUAUCAGUUUAAAAACAUUUUUUACACCUGGUAUUUAAAACAAAACAACAACAAAAAAAGGCCAGGCUGUGCUGAACCAAUUUGCACCCUAGGGACUCUGUCCUGAGGUUCCGUAAAGCCCUUUUGAUAGGUCUGUCC